UCAGUUCGGAUCGGAGUCUGNAACCCGACUACAUGAAGCCGGAAUCGCUAGUAAUCGCGGAUCAGAAUGCCGCGGUGAAUACGUUCCCGGGUCUUGUACACACCGCCCGUCACACCAUGGGAGUCGGAAAUGCCCGAAGUCUGUGACCCAACCGCAAGGAGGGAGCAGCCGAAGGCAGGUCGGAUGACUGGGGUGAAGUCGUAACAAGGUAAC
This 213-nucleotide ribosomal RNA is filed under the name uncultured bacterium. RNAcentral's name for it is "partial 16S ribosomal RNA". It matches the Rfam family "Bacterial small subunit ribosomal RNA", at positions 1288 to 1500 of the family's 1533-position model. The record is from RNAcentral.